Paracoccidioides brasiliensis is the source of this 71-nucleotide non-coding RNA. Lineage: Eukaryota; Fungi; Ascomycota; Eurotiomycetes; Onygenales; Ajellomycetaceae. The record is from Rfam.
CGCAAGUUAAUGUAAAAGUAACAUAUUGGACUCAUGAUCCAAUAAUUUAGGUGCAAUUCCUAAACUUGCUU